Molecule: ribosomal RNA, 491 nt
Filed under: uncultured bacterium
Lineage: Bacteria
Description: partial 16S ribosomal RNA
Rfam family: Bacterial small subunit ribosomal RNA
Source: RNAcentral
AGUGAACGCUGGCGGUAGGCCUAACACAUGCAAGUCGAACGGCAGCACAGUAAGAGCUUGCUCUUACGGGUGGCGAGUGGCGGACGGGUGAGGAAUACAUCGGAAUCUACUUUUUCGUGGGGGAUAACGUAGGGAAACUUACGCUAAUACCGCAUACGACCUACGGGUGAAAGCAGGGGAUCUUCGGACCUUGCGCGAUUGAAUGAGCCGAUGUCGGAUUAGCUAGUUGGCGGGGUAAAGGCCCACCAAGGCGACGAUCCGUAGCUGGUCUGAGAGGAUGAUCAGACACACUGGAACUGAGACACGGUACAGACUCCUACGGGAGGCAGCAGUGGGGAAUAUUGGACAAUGGGCGCAAGCCUGAUCCAGCCAUACCGCGUGGGUGAAGAAGGCCUUCGGGUUGUAAAGCCCUUUUGUUGGGAAAGAAAAGCAGCAGGUUAAUACCCCGCUGUUCUGACGGUACCCAAAGAAUAAGCACCGGCUAACUUCGU